RNAcentral lists this ribosomal RNA (257 nucleotides) under uncultured archaeon. RNAcentral describes it as "partial 16S ribosomal RNA". It matches the Rfam family "Archaeal small subunit ribosomal RNA", at positions 748 to 1005 of the family's 1478-position model. The record is from RNAcentral.
CAGCCGUAAACUAUGCUCGCUAGGUGUCAGGCAUGGCGCGACCGUGUCUGGUGCCGCAGGGAAGCCGUGAAGCGAGCCACCUGGGAAGUACGGCCGCAAGGCUGAAACUUAAAGGAAUUGGCGGGGGGAGCACAACAACGGGUGGAGCCUGCGGUUUAAUUGGACUCAACGCCGGACAAACUCACCGGGGGACGACAGCAAUAUGUAGGCCAGGCUGAAGACCUUGCCUGAAUCGCUGAGACUACACGGGUAUCUAA